AAAGGGUACCUAGACGGAAAAUCAAGCCAAAUAAAGGGACUAAUAUUCUAGAGUUUUAUAAAAGAAGAUGGAAUUUUCGGAGUAGAGUUGAAAUUCAGUUAUACCGUGAAGACUGGUAACGGCGAAGGCAAUCUUCUAUGUAAAAACUGACGUUGAGGGACGAAGCCUAGGGUAACGAUAAGGAUUAGAGACCCUAAUAGUCCUAGGAGAAAAUUAUGAAUGUCAUAAGCUAGAUUAUUUUAGUUUAUAAAUGAAAGUGUAAGCAUUCCACCUCAUGAGUAAAGCGGCAACGCUCAAAUUGAAAUCAUUAGACCGUUUCUGAAACCAGUAGUGAAGUAUGUUAUUUAAUUCGAUGAUCCGCGAAUAACCUUACCACAAUUUGAAUAUUUUACAAGUGCUGCACGGCUGUCUUUAGCUAAUGUCGUGAGAUUUGGUUAACUCCUCUAAUUAGCGCAAGCCCUUGCUUUAUUUAUUUUUUUCAUAAAGUAGUUCACCAAUAUAUCAGUACAGAUAAUAGGGAUUAAGACAAGUCAUCAUGGCCUUAAUAUUGU
RNAcentral lists this ribosomal RNA (551 nucleotides) under Chaetothyriales sp. RNAcentral describes it as "SSU rRNA". It matches the Rfam family "Bacterial small subunit ribosomal RNA", at positions 562 to 1210 of the family's 1533-position model. The record is from RNAcentral. Lineage: Eukaryota; Fungi; Ascomycota; Eurotiomycetes; Chaetothyriales.